GAGUUUGAUCCUGGCUCAGGACGAACGCUGGCGGCGUGCCUAACACAUGCAAGUCGAGCGAGUGAAUCUCCUUCGGGAGUGAAGCUAGCGGCGGACGGGUGAGUAACACGUGGGCAACCUGCCUCAUAGAGGGGAAUAGCCUUUCGAAAGGAAGAUUAAUACCGCAUAAGAUUGUAGCUUCGCAUGAAGUAGCAAUUAAAGGAGCAAUCCGCUAUGAGAUGGGCCCGCGGCGCAUUAGCUAGUUGGUGAGGUAACGGCUCACCAAGGCGACGAUGCGUAGCCGACCUGAGAGGGUGAUCGGCCACAUUGGGACUGAGACACGGCCCAGACUCCUACGGGAGGCAGCAGUGGGGAAUAUUGCACAAUGGGGGAAACCCUGAUGCAGCAACGCCGCGUGAGUGAUGACGGCCUUCGGGUUGUAAAGCUCUGUCUUCAGGGACGAUAAUGACGGUACCUGAGGAGGAAGCCACGGCUAACUACGUGCCAGCCGCCGCGGUAAUUC
RNAcentral lists this ribosomal RNA (502 nucleotides) under uncultured bacterium. RNAcentral describes it as "bacterial SSU rRNA". It matches the Rfam family "Bacterial small subunit ribosomal RNA", at positions 9 to 526 of the family's 1533-position model. The record is from RNAcentral.